AUUGAACGCUGGCGGCAGGCUUAACACAUGCAAGUCGAGCGGGGGAAGGUAGCUUGCUACUGGACCUAGCGGCGGACGGGUGAGUAAUGCUUAGGAAUCUGCCUAUUAGUGGGGGACAACAUCUCGAAAGGGAUGCUAAUACCGCAUACGUCCUACGGGAGAAAGCAGGGGAUCUUCGGACCUUGCGCUAAUAGAUGAGCCUAAGUCGGAUUAGCUAGUUGGUGGGGUAAAGGCCUACCAAGGCGACGAUCUGUAGCGGGUCUGAGAGGAUGAUACGCCAAACUGGGACUGAGACACGGCCCAGACUCCUUCGGGAGGCAGCAGUGGGGAAUAUUGGACAAUGGGGGGAACCCUGAUCCAGCCAUGCCGCGUGUGUGAAGAAGGCCUUAUGGUUGUAAAGCACUUUAAGCGAGGAGGAGGCUACUCUAGUUAAUACCUAGGGAUAGUGGACGUUACUCGCAGAAUAAGCACCGGCUAACUCUGUGCCAGCAGCCGCCGUAA
RNAcentral lists this ribosomal RNA (501 nucleotides) under uncultured bacterium. RNAcentral describes it as "partial 16S ribosomal RNA". It matches the Rfam family "Bacterial small subunit ribosomal RNA", at positions 30 to 523 of the family's 1533-position model. The record is from RNAcentral.